AUCCCUUCCGUAGGUGAACCUGCGGAAGG
Molecule: ribosomal RNA, 29 nt
Filed under: [Coniosporium] sp. MA 4614
Lineage: Eukaryota; Fungi; Ascomycota; Eurotiomycetes; Chaetothyriales; Herpotrichiellaceae
Description: Coniosporium sp. MA 4614 18S ribosomal RNA
Source: RNAcentral